AUUUGACGUUAGCGACAGAAGAAGCACCGGCUAACUCCGUGCCAGCAGCCGCGGUAAUACGGAGGGUGCGAGCGUUAAUCGGAAUUACUGGGCGUAAAGCGCAUGCAGGUGGUUUGUUAAGUCAGAUGUGAAAGCCCGGGGCUCAACCUCGGAAUUGCAUUUGAAACUGGCAGACUAGAGUACUGUAGAGGGGGGUAGAAUUUCAGGUGUAGCGGUGAAAUGCGUAGAGAUCUGAAGGAAUACCGGUGGCGAAGGCGGCCCCCUGGACAGAUACUGACACUCAGAUGCGAAAGCGUGGGGAGCAAACAGGAUUAGAUACCCUGGUAGUCCACGCCGUAAACGAUGUCUACUUGGAGGUUGUGGCCUUGAGCCGUGGCUUUCGGAGCUAACGCGUUAAGUAGACCGCCUGGGGAGUACGGUCGCAAGAUUAAAACUCAAAUGAAUUGACGGGGGCCCGCACAAGCGGUGGAGCAUGUGGUUUAAUUCGAUGCAACGCGAAGAACCUUACC
RNAcentral lists this ribosomal RNA (509 nucleotides) under Vibrio parahaemolyticus. Its description in RNAcentral is "bacterial SSU rRNA". It matches the Rfam family "Bacterial small subunit ribosomal RNA", at positions 467 to 975 of the family's 1533-position model. The record is from RNAcentral. Lineage: Bacteria; Pseudomonadati; Pseudomonadota; Gammaproteobacteria; Vibrionales; Vibrionaceae.